ACGGACGUCUGCUCCUCUAGAAAACCCACAAUUCCGAGCAAACGCCCGUCGCACUUUUUUCCUUUCGCUUCCAAGGCUAAAUUAACUCACAGCCGAGAGAAUGUUUCGAUCCAGUUUUUUAUUUUUCGCUUUGUUUGUUCUCGUCACGAGCGUCUCCGGCUACAGAAAAUGCAAUUUGCAUACUUUGGCGGCCGAAAACAGCCUGGACUGCGGACACGUAAUGAGUCGCCCGUGGCACCAACCGGGCAGCGUCGCCCGCUGCUCCUGUGCCCGUCGAUGCUCCAGGGACGUGACCAACACGUUUUUCUGCAACCAAGACGGAAAGUGGUACGCGAUGCCCAACCGAGAAACAAAUUUCGACUGCCUUUCCUGUCAAUAUGCGGAUUGUUUCCUGCCCUCGGACAGGUUUUAUGAAUGCAAAACGAACGGGGGUGUUCUCCGAGGUGAAGAGGCGUUUUGCAGGUGCAAAAGCAACAAGCGGUUCUACAUGCUGAAAUGUGCAGCAGAAGGUCAUUGGACUCACUCGAGCAGGUUUCCUUCCUGCGGUGGACCACAAAUCUCACAACAAAACUAAUGAACUUGAUGCUUUCUACGCGCUUUCUCUCUACAACCCCCUAUUUCCUUAAUUCCCCAGUCAGAGGUUUGGUAAGAACACUUUCGACUCUCUCUAUAUUUUCCACUCCUACUUUCCAGAAACAAAAGUUGGCGAAUUUUUGCAUUUUUUGAAAUUCGAGCACUCUUUUCCUGUGUGGAGAGCGCGCGGAUUUGCACCCCUUUCCGCACGACAGCUUUGAUGCCAAUUCAUUGUCGAACGGCAAAACACAAUAGGUGCACGCACGUCAAGUGGGCUGCAGCGCGUCGAGUGCCUCGGAUUGCAUUGUGUCUCCGACCCUGCUCACGGCCGGCUGCACAACAACGAUGCCACCCUCGCUCGUUUUGUUAAGAUGUCAUAAUUAUAUAUAUAUGUGAGCUCGCGCUUUUUUAUGCAGAAUGGCAUCUUUUCAAAAUCACCCGCACUUGCAAAACGUGCAGUUGAGGUGGCACGCACCGACUCCAAGUGGAGAUUCGCAUAUUUAUUAUGAACAGAAGACGCGAACUGAAAUGCUGAGUGCAAAUCUUCUCAAGUAUGUUCUGAAAUAAUUUUUAUUUUUUAAUUUUAUAAUUUUUUUAUUUCAAAAAAAAAAUUGGUUUUAAGCAAAAUAAGCGUCUAUAUAAGCAUUUUUCGCAUUGAAGAAAAAAACUCAAAAUAGGUGAAAAGUUGGUGAAACUCUUAAUGCAUUUUGUGUUUAGCUUGUCUUUUUGCUAAAAAAUUUAAAAUAAAAUAAAUAAACUUUGUAAAUGUUUUAAUUUUAGUCUCAAUUUGAAUUUAUAAUUAGAUUUAUUGAAUGUCUUAUUAUAUUUCAAAUAUUUUAUUCAUUUUUUAUAUUUAUUUUUUUUAUUUUCAAAUAAUAUAUUGACAAUUCCAAGAAAGAUUGUAAGCGAAAAAUGACAAAGAAUCUUGAAUAAUAUGUGAAUAUAGUUAAAUUUUAAGCAAAAAUCAAUUCUUUUAUGUACAUGAAUUGGAUAAACUUGAGCGUCACUGAAAGCAUUUAGAACUAAAGAAGGCACCUUAACGAAAUAACAUUUGAUGACUUGUUUCUCAUUUUAGGAAUGCUUUAAAUUCCAAAGUAAGCCUUUAAAGAGCACGGCAAUAAGAAUUUUGAAAAUUUUUUCUUCCGAGGGAUUUUUGCGGAUUUUCGGCAAAGCGAGGGUGGGUGGCUUAGGGCUGCUCGUUUUGUGGGAAUCCCGGCGCUCGUAGCGUUGCGGUCUCUGUCCGACAGAAUGGCUUUUGAUGUGAAAUGUCAACGUUCGCGCAGAGAAAGAAAUGUUUAUUAUUGCACACCAAGCAUAGAGUGCUGACGGGCGCGUCAACUGGCAGUCAGGCGCGAAAUUCCCAACGACGGUCUUGAUUAAAUCGCAGCCAGCUUAGCCUCUGGCUGGCCCACUGUUAUUUUCAUCCAUCACACUUGCAGCCCUAAUCUCCAGCCUAGGCUGACGACCUACUCAUCCGGUCAUUCUACCCAUUUUGUGCGAAAAAAAAUACAUAUUAUUAUAUUUAAACCCAAACCAAAAUCAGUGCGAUUUUGAAAUUGUACCACAAUUUCCCAAAUUAACCACAAAUAUAACCAUUGAUUUUUUUAACUACUAUUGCAUUAUUUUU
Molecule: RNA transcript, 2200 nt
Organism: Neocloeon triangulifer
Lineage: Eukaryota; Metazoa; Arthropoda; Insecta; Ephemeroptera; Baetidae
Exons: 4
Source: RefSeq, a predicted model, not a curated record